UACCUACGGGGGGCAGCAGUGGGGAAUCUUGCGCAAUGGGCGAAAGCCUGACGCAGCCAUGCCGCGUGAAUGAUGAAGGUCUUAGGAUUGUAAAGUUCUUUAGCCUGUGACGAUGAUGACGGUAACAGGAGAAUAAGCCCCGGCUAACUUCGUGCCAGCAGCCGCGGUAAUACGAAGGGGGCUAGCGUUGUUCGGAAUUACUGGGCGUAAAGCGCGCGUAGGCGGUUUUACAAGCCAGAGGUGAAAUGCCCGAGCUUAACUUGGGAAUUGCCUUUGGAACUGUAUGGCUUUGAGGACGAGAGAGGUGAGUGGAAUUCCCAGUGUAGAGGUGAAAUUCGUAGAUAUUGGGAAGAACACCGGUGGCGAAGGCGGCUCACUGGCUCGUUUCUGACGCUGUAGCGCGAAAGCGUGGGGAUCAAACAGGAUUAGAUACCCCAGUAGUCACU
This 446-nucleotide ribosomal RNA is filed under the name uncultured Alphaproteobacteria bacterium. Its description in RNAcentral is "bacterial SSU rRNA". It matches the Rfam family "Bacterial small subunit ribosomal RNA", at positions 335 to 799 of the family's 1533-position model. The record is from RNAcentral. Lineage: Bacteria; Pseudomonadati; Pseudomonadota; Alphaproteobacteria.